CUGGCUGCUGGGCUCUUUGCUGGUUCGUGUCAGCUAAAAGCUUUAACAGCUUUGACGUUAUUGCUGCAGUCUGGCCGGUAGGCCUACUCUAUCCCCAUUCCGGAGAUGGUAUUCAUUGAACAGAUCAAACUGAUGAUCGUCUCGCUGUGUGUCUCCUUUAGUUCCAAAUAAUCCCUGCCAGCAGCAAACGGCGGCGGCAUCGUCAGCACCAGCCAUCGCAAAUGUAUAUAGACAUCAUAAAAACCUUUGGAACGAAAUAACACACAGCAGAGCACAUCAGUGCCGGCCAGAGUCUUGUGUGUUUGCUCAGUUCGGAGAGAUGUUGAUGAUGGCCAGUCGAAAAGAAGAUGGGGACGAGAAAGAGAGAGAGAGAAAAAGGUGAGCUAUUUCCCACAUUCAUCAAGAGUGCUGUUGCAGUCGUCAUAAAAAAAGAUAUGGUCCUUCUUUUUCUUCUUCUUCUUUUCAUUUUCGAGUGGAGACACACAGGGCAGAGUGUGCCUGUGCUGCCCCGGUCGCCGGUCUGCUGGAGAGUAGCCGGGACGCCUGCUGGAAAUACCCGUCCACCUCACGUUCUUAUAUAUAGUGGAAAUGUGUGGCUGCUGCUGCACAUCAUCUCUCUGCUGCCCCAUAACGCGGAGAGAGAACCUUCUUCACUCCUCCGUCUCGACAAAGCACUCGAGAAGAGAGCAAAUGCUCGGUGACAUUUUUCUAUAAGGGCCUGACUGACUGACUGCCUUUUCAUCUUUUUCUUUUUUCUUAUUUCUUCUUAUUUCUUCCAGUCAGUUUCCUCGGUCGCGCGGUUCCCCCUGCCGUGCUUUCAUCUUGAUUGUCCUUUGACCUUUACCUCUCAUUCUUUACCAAAGAUCAUGCGGGCCAGCCAUGCAGGGCCGGUUCCCAAAACGACGUGAUCCUUCGCCAAUGUCCCUGGCACGACCUUUUUUUUUCUUUUUUUUUUAAAUGCCAUUUCCAACUACAAGGUGAGAGAGGGGGGGGGGGGGGGAGAAAGAAGUUAAAAAAGGAAGAAGAAAAGGUCUGCUGCUGGACAAUCUCGACGGCAAAUCGCACGGGGGUUUUUUCUUCUUCUUGGCCGGGGACAACGGAGAGAAGAGAAUAAGAGAAAGAAAGAGCAGUCACACAAGUGGCUUUUCUCGGUGGACGCAUUCCAAUUUGGAAAGGACAAAACGGCAGCUGAAAAGAGCAGCAGCAGCUGAUGGAGGAGGAAGAAGAAGAAGCUAAAAGAGAAUUUCCGUCGCUUUUCUCUCUCUCUCUGCCUGGACAAGGAGCAACGCAACCGUGUGCUCCUGCUGUCUGUCUGCCUGUCUGUCGGUUGUUUUUUCUUUUUCUUUUUUCUUUCUUUCUUUUUUUUUCCGUUUGAUAUUAUAACAAACGCUGAGAUAAUAUACAGGAAGGGGUUCGCUUAGCCGCCAGCUCAGCCAACAGCGCCGAGAUCUGUUUGGGAGGAGGAAUGCCGGUAAAAGAGGGAAACAUCUCCUCUCUGGUCAUAAAUCAAAAAACAAAACAAAAUACAGGAAAACUCAAAAAGAAAACAAGAAAACAAGAAUAAGGAGAAAGAAGAAGAAUCGUUUCUUAUCUUGUAGCAACUGCCAUGCACACGAAACAAUUCGAGAAAACAAGGACCCAGAAAAAAACUAUAGUUCUAACUUCUAACACACUAACCCAAGAGACUAUACUCCGCCGGUCCCGUCCGUCCGGGAGAAAGAGACAAACGAAGAAAAAGUUAAAAAGGGGAGGCAAGAAAAAAUAAAUAUUUUUGUCUUUUUCAAAAAAAUAAACUUGUGAAAAAGAUGAAGAAAGGGAGAAAAGACAAUAACAAGACAGUCGACUAACACACAAGAGACCUGGAACGAUCAUUUUUAUUACAACCCGGUAGUUGUAUAUAGCUAUAGCGGUGUAUAGUGGUAUAGUGUUCAGGUGCGUCAGUCUAUAUAUACAUCCAACUGGGUCAUACUUAGAGGUCCUCUUCUUCAUUCUUUUUGAGGACAGCACAAGGUAAAACGACGAAGCAGAAAGAUGACUUUAUCGUCUCAUCAUCGGCUGGAAGGGGGGAAACAGAACAGCAGCGCAGCCGACUUUUGGGUGACACGUGAACUUGGCCCGCAUCAGCCCGUCUCGGAGACGGCAAACCAAUACCGAAACACAACACACAUGACACCACAAUCAGAAUGCGCAUUAUAAGAGUUGAAAGAUCAGUCAGAGAAAUCAGAAAAAUCAAACGAAAAAAAAAAAAAAGAAAUGUUGGAAUGAAUCGGCAGGAAUAUCGGAGAUCUAUCAAGUAUAUUUCACCCUAUGGGCAGCAACAAGGCAAGAAGAAGAAGAAGAAACAACAGCUCAAACCAGGUGAAAAGAUCUUCAUCAUCAUCUCUCUCUCAUCCUUGCCUGCACCGCUGAAUAAGAAAACAAAACAUCCGUCGGAGAUUGGAGAAGUUGUCGUCUAUAAUGUGGACGUGUGUCUCCGUCUGUCCAUCCCGGCGUGAAUGACGCGGCAAGAAGAAGAAGAAGACGGCGCGCUCGCAUCUCUCUCUGACUAUCUCUCUGUAACGCUGCUAUACAUUAUUAUACUGCGUUAUUAUU
This is a long non-coding RNA of Daphnia pulicaria, 2592 nucleotides long. RefSeq lists it as uncharacterized. The record is from RefSeq and is a predicted model, not a curated record. The transcript has 3 exons. Lineage: Eukaryota; Metazoa; Arthropoda; Branchiopoda; Diplostraca; Daphniidae.